RNAcentral lists this ribosomal RNA (468 nucleotides) under uncultured bacterium. Its description in RNAcentral is "partial 16S ribosomal RNA". It matches the Rfam family "Bacterial small subunit ribosomal RNA", at positions 28 to 507 of the family's 1533-position model. The record is from RNAcentral.
GACGAACGCUGGCGGCGUGCUUAACACAUGCAAGUCGAACGGAAAGGCCCUGCUUUUGUGGGGUGCUCGAGUGGCGAACGGGUGAGUAACACGUGAGUAACCUGCCCUUGACUUUGGGAUAACUUCAGGAAACUGGGGCUAAUACCGGAUAGGAGCUCCUGCUGCAUGGUGGGGGUUGGAAAGUUUCGGCGGUUGGGGAUGGACUCGCGGCUUAUCAGCUUGUUGGUUGGGUAGUGGCUUACCCAGGCUUUGACGGGUAGCCGGCCUGAGAGGGUGACCGGCCACAUUGGGACUGAGAUACGGCCCAGACUCCUACGGGAGGCAGCAGUGGGGAAUAUUGCACAAUGGGCGGAAGCCUGAUGCAGCAACGCCGCGUGCGGGAUGACGGCCUUCGGGUUGUAAACCGCUUUCGCCUGUGACGAAGCGUGAGUGACGGUAAUGGGUAAAGAAGCACCGGCUAACUACGUG